This 71-nucleotide transfer RNA is filed under the name Camelus bactrianus (Bactrian camel). It matches the Rfam family "tRNA". From Rfam's summary of the family: Transfer RNA (tRNA) molecules are approximately 80 nucleotides in length. RNAcentral also lists the same sequence under 2 other names. Lineage: Eukaryota; Metazoa; Chordata; Mammalia; Artiodactyla; Camelidae. The record is from Rfam by way of RNAcentral.
GAGUGUAUAGCUCAGAAGCAGAGUGCAUGACUAGCAUGCAUGAGGUCCUAGGUUCAAUCCCAGUACCUCCA